GAAAGACCAGGGGUCAGCAGGCGAGGACAGUGACCUGGCCCGGACAGGGCCGAAGAAGUCCCCGGCCCUUGUGCCCCGCCGCCCCGGACCAGGGACUCCGCGGCGACCCCCCUGCCCGCCCCGCGCCCGAGCCCAGGACCGGGGCAGGGAAAGAAGCGGGCGCCACGCGCGGGCAACUUGGAGACUUACCUUCCCGGAUGCGCUACACCAUCAAUGGAGCCCCCCAGCACAUAGUUGUAGAUUCUAGUUGUGAGUGCCUCUGGUUCUGCUUUGUGGGACGCCGCCUCAGCAUGGCCUGAGGAGUGGUGCCAUGUCCUCGCCCGGGAUCUGAACCGACGAAACCCCUGGGCCGCUGAAGCCAAGCCUGCGAACCCAACCACCUGGCCAUGGAGCCGGCCCCUGCC
This 404-nucleotide long non-coding RNA is filed under the name Equus asinus (donkey). RNAcentral describes it as "lncRNA (ENSEASG00005027036.1)". Lineage: Eukaryota; Metazoa; Chordata; Mammalia; Perissodactyla; Equidae. The record is from RNAcentral.